UGAGAUCUGAAAGAAUCCAAGGACGUCAAUAUGAUAGUUGUAUAUGAUCAUUUUGUAAUCUGGGUGGAGGAAGUGCAGGGGUAGAAUGGUGAAUCUAAUACAUGAAUUGCCCACUCUCUGCAUGUUUCUAGACGUAGCACGAACAUGUUGUGAGCAGCUAGGUGGAGGACGAAGAGAGGAUAAAGGCCCUCCUUUUGAGAAAAGACCCUGAAAUUGCAUGUCACUUAUGCCCGCAUUUCAUUGGCCAGGUCACACCCGCAAGAAGACUGAGAAAUGUAUUUCAUUCUGAGUAGCUACGCAUCUCGCCCAAACACAGGCCUUUUACUUCUACGUUGGAGAAAAGUUGGUUCAGCCGACAAUGUACUACUAUAAAGUAAUUAAAUAUUUUGGUGCAAAGAAUAUUUGAUGUAAUGGAAAAUACGCAACACAUGUUACUGAAUGAAAAUUUUUCAAAGGGCCAGCUGCAUGCAGCAGAUUAUUACCUAGUCAAUGUGGAACACGGCCAACCGCUGGGGAGGCAUCGGACAUUAUGCCAUCAUGUCAAGCAGUCGCCAAGACCAGCCCUUUCCCCUGGAGCCCGUUAACAAUUAGAAUGUUGUGGAUUG
Molecule: long non-coding RNA, 605 nt
Organism: Neofelis nebulosa (Clouded leopard)
Lineage: Eukaryota; Metazoa; Chordata; Mammalia; Carnivora; Felidae
Exons: 3
Source: RefSeq, a predicted model, not a curated record